Molecule: long non-coding RNA, 403 nt
Organism: Sitodiplosis mosellana (orange wheat blossom midge)
Lineage: Eukaryota; Metazoa; Arthropoda; Insecta; Diptera; Cecidomyiidae
Exons: 2
Source: RefSeq, a predicted model, not a curated record
UCAACGUACGAAAAAAAAUUGAUUUCAAGUUAUAAUUUCGCUAUAUAAGAGUAUUAAGUUAAUUUAUGUGUCUUGUGUAUAUAGUUGUGACUCGGUCAGUAGUUUUUUUUUCUUCUGUUUCUUCUUCUUCAGUUUCCAUUAUAAUUUCUCUUCAAUUUUCUCGUUGCAUUACGUAACCUCGUAAACCAGUUUUGAUUGCGCCCCGUUUUUUUUUUUUCUUCUCUUUGCUGCGUUGUUGUAAUUACUACUUGAAAUUUUUCGUUCUGCAAGAAAAGAAUCAAAUCUUUUUGACUGCACAACAGAAUGUGAAAUGAAAACGAACAACAAAAUUCUGACGAAUUGAAAAACCAUCACUAACUUAAUUGGAACUGCAACGGAAUUGUUACGGAAAUUAUGAUGGAAC